AAUAGAUACCCCCGGUAGUCCACGCCCUAAAACUAUGUCGACUAGUUGUUGGGGGAGUCUGUCCCUCAGUAACGUAGCUAACGCGUGAAGUCGACCGCCUGGGGAGUACGGUCGCAAGAUUAAAACUCAAAGGAAUUGACGGGGACCCGCACAGGCGGUGGAUUAUGUGGAUUAAUUCGAUGCAACGCGAAGAACCUUACCUACCCUUGACAUGCCAGGAACCUCGCAGAGAUGUGAGGGUGCCCGAAAGGGAACCUGGACACAGGUGCUGCAUGGCUGUCGUCAGCUCGUGUCGUGAGAUGUUGGGUUAAGUCCCGCAACGAGCGCAACCCUUGCCAUUAGUUGCUACAUUCAGUUGGGCACUCUAAUGGGACUGCCGGUGACAAACCGGAGGAAGGUGGGGAUGACGUCAAGUCCUCAUGGCCCUUAGUGGGUAGGGCUUCACACGUAAUACAAUGGCGCGUACAGAGGGCUGCAAACCCGCGAGGGGGAGCCAAUCCCAAAAAGUGCGUCGUAGUCCGGAUUGUUCUCUCGCAACUCGAG
Molecule: ribosomal RNA, 543 nt
Filed under: uncultured bacterium
Lineage: Bacteria
Description: bacterial SSU rRNA
Rfam family: Bacterial small subunit ribosomal RNA
Source: RNAcentral